UUUUAUGUUAUAUUAAAUAUUAUUAUUUUGUUUAUUUUAAUAUAAAUAAUUAAUAUUUUAAUAACAGAUUAAUAGUGUUUAACUAUUUGAGAGAGAGCGAUAACAGGUCUGUGAUGCCCUUAGAUGUCCGGGGCUGCACGCGCGCUACAAUGUAGUGAUCAUUAUGUUCCUGUUUAGAGAUAAAUGGGUAAACAUUGAAAACAUUACGUAACUGGGAGUGAAAAUUGCAAUUAUUUUUCAUGAACGAGGAAUUCCAAGUAAACGU
Molecule: unclassified non-coding RNA, 265 nt
Filed under: Strongyloides stercoralis
Lineage: Eukaryota; Metazoa; Nematoda; Chromadorea; Rhabditida; Strongyloididae
Description: partial 18S small subunit ribosomal RNA
Rfam family: Eukaryotic small subunit ribosomal RNA
Source: RNAcentral